AACGAACGCUGGCGGCAUGCCUAACACAUGCAAGUCGAACGAGACCUUCGGGUCUAGUGGCGCACGGGUGCGUAACGCGUGGGAACCUGCCCUUAGGUUCGGCAUAACUCCCCGAAAGGGGUGCUAAUACCGGAUAAUGUCUUCGGACCAAAGAUUUAUCGCCUUUGGAUGGGCCCGCGUUGGAUUAGCUAGUUGGUAGGGUAAAAGCCUACCAAGGCGCCGAUCCAUAGCUGGUCUGAGAGGAUGAUCAGCCACACUGGGACUGAGACACGGCCCAGACUCCUACGGGAGGCAGCAGUGGGGAAUAUUGGACAGUGGGCGAAAGCCUGAUCCAGCAAUGCCGCUUGAGUGAUGAAGGCCUUAGGGUUGUAAAGCUCUUUUACCCGGGAUGAUAAUGACAGUACCGGGAGAAUAAGCUCCGGCUAACUCCGUG
This 433-nucleotide ribosomal RNA is filed under the name uncultured bacterium. RNAcentral's name for it is "partial 16S ribosomal RNA". It matches the Rfam family "Bacterial small subunit ribosomal RNA", at positions 29 to 507 of the family's 1533-position model. The record is from RNAcentral.